This 400-nucleotide long non-coding RNA is filed under the name Vulpes vulpes (red fox). RNAcentral describes it as "lncRNA (ENSVVUG00000008237.1)". Lineage: Eukaryota; Metazoa; Chordata; Mammalia; Carnivora; Canidae. The record is from RNAcentral.
UCCCAGGUGAAAACGACAUGAUGAUGUAAGGAAAGAACCACAUGGCAGUGCUGGCACCAGUGGCAGUCCCCAGAAAGGCUGCACCACAGCAAUAAUGGAGACUGUGAUGCAUGAUGGGAGGCGGCAGAUACCCAAGAAACUCAGCAAUGAGGUCCACUCAGGACUAUCCCAUACAGUCUGCUUUGUCUUGGGCUCCAGUCACAUCAGCCCAUAAGAAUACUGAUUUCAAGUUCAAGCAAUCUCUAGCAGCUGUGGAAUCACCUGGACAUAAAGUAUCACUCAUUUGUUAAGAUAGUUUCUAAAAAGAAGAACAAAUACCAUACCCACAUCUGAAAGUCUAUUAGGAAAUAUAAACUGGUUGAAAUAGUUAAUGAACACUUUUGGAACAUGUAUAUUUGGG